RNAcentral lists this long non-coding RNA (1248 nucleotides) under Sinocyclocheilus grahami. RNAcentral describes it as "lncRNA (ENSSGRG00000005475.1)". The record is from RNAcentral. Lineage: Eukaryota; Metazoa; Chordata; Actinopteri; Cypriniformes; Cyprinidae.
CUAAUUUGAGAUGCACCUGUAUCUACAUCUUGGAUGGCCUGAGGGUGAGUCCAUUUUCAUAGAGAUGGUAUUCAAAACAUUGCAUCCGAGAUCUUCCAGCUGAAAGAAAUGUGAUGCAUCACAAUUGGAUGAAUCACAGUGUGGUUUAUUUUUUACAGGGGAUUGUAACUCUACCCCUUCAGAGACGUCAACAACCAAAAAAGAUACUCGGUUAUCAGCGGAGAAGGAGUCCUCAUCAGACACCUCGACAAACACUCAGGAAAGUGAAGAUGGUUCCCCACCCACAAAGAAAAGUAGAGUGGAAUCAUCUUCUCAGGACUUAGAUAACUAAAGCUGACUAGUUUGCUCCCAUGUUUCAAACACGUCACUGUCACAAACCAAUGAGGAAACACAACACACUUAACAAUCCAUUCCUGAUCUUUAAGUACAGCUUCACCCUGUUCAUCAUCUUCUCACCUGGAGCGAACAUUGUCGCUGUGCCAGUGAACCGAGGCCGACGACGAACACUGACCUGAUCCUGUGAGAAACCUGCAGCCUCGCUCCAUUCAACUCAUGCACGAUAUACAGCGUUAGUUUAACAGUAAUGAGAGUGAAUGCACUGCAUAGAUUUGUCAAGAUAAAAGAUGGAUUUGCUGCUGUGAUCAUCUUUGUUUUAAGUCUUCUAUUAUUUAAUUGAAUGACUCUACUAGUUGUUUUUCGAACUAUUUUGCAGGUUGUUGUAUGGUUAUAGUGCUGGUGUUUGGUUUGUUCAUAGAUUCUCUACUGGUUAGUGUGCCUUCUGGCUCCAUGAUGUGUGAUUUUAUUUUUUUAUUUUUGUGGCUUUUGUUUUUUUAAAAGCUUUUCAAAGCAUCACUGCUUUUUAAGGGGAUGAAUAAUGUUUUGUUACAUGUCAAAAUGAAUCGAAUAUAUACCUCAUUUCCAAACCAGCUGAGCUGGAACUUAAUUCUUGAUUGAUGGAUAAAUCCUAUUCACUGAACACAAUCGGGCAGUUUUUAAAUGUCAUUUUCAACAAUAAAUCCAUUCUCACUUCAAUCUGAUGUAGCAACGUUCAAGGAACAUACAAUGAAAUACUCUAUAGAUACAUUGGGACCAUGUUUUCUUGAAAUGAAUUGGUUUUGUACAGUUGAUUAAUUUUGGUUUUUAUUUAUUUCACCAUUAGUGCUUAUUUUUAGCAUAUUCAAUUUGUUUUAAUAAAAAAUGUUAACUGAAAUGAUUACGACUAGCCUAUUUUUUUAUGACUAUUUAGCU